This 498-nucleotide ribosomal RNA is filed under the name uncultured bacterium. RNAcentral's name for it is "SSU rRNA". It matches the Rfam family "Bacterial small subunit ribosomal RNA", at positions 26 to 518 of the family's 1533-position model. The record is from RNAcentral.
AGAGCGAACGCUGGCGGCGUGCUUAACACAUGCAAGUCGAGUGCGCAGUUUUCUGUAGCAAUACAGGAAACCGGCGCACGGCGCACGGGUGCGUAACACGUGGGUAACCUGCCCUCCAAAGGGGGAUAACCCCGCGAAAGCGGGGCUAAUACCGCAUGACAUUCCAGAGACAUCGGUUUUUGGAAUCAAAGCUCGAAAGGGCGUUGGAGGAGGGGCCCGCGGCCGAUUAGCUUGUUGGCGAGGUAAUGGCUCACCAAGGCUUUGAUCGGUAGCCGGUCUGAGAGGAUGGCCGGCCACACUGGAACUGAGACACGGUCCAGACUCCUACGGGAGGCAGCAGUGGGGAAUCUUGCGCAAUGGGCGAAAGCCUGACGCAGCGACGCCGCGUGGGGGAUGAAGCUUUUCGGAGUGUAAACCCCUUUCGACCCGGACGAAACGCCCGUAAGGGCUUGACGGUACGGGUAUAAGAAGCCCGGCUAACUACGUGCCAGCAGCCGC